AGCGCCCGAGCCGAGCGGGCGAGCGGAGCUGCGGGGAGCGCGGGCGAAGGGCGGCAGGAGGGAGGGCGCGCGGGAGGCGGCCCCUCCUCGGCGAGCCAUGCGUGCCACGGGCAGCUGAGGAGCCGCCGGGCGCCGCUGCCAAGUCCCCGCUCCGCUUUUGUCUUGCCCUCCAGUGAAUGGGAAGAUGGAGAUGGAUGUUGAGGGAGUUUCUCCGCGCCCGGAGCCCAUCCCCCGCUCCCAGGGGGCUGGCGGAGCCUGCCAGGCGCCGCCACAGCCGCCCCAGCCCCAGCCCCAGCCCCAGCCGCAGCCGCAGCAGCAGCAGCAGCAGCAGCUGGCUCAGGAUGAAGUGCCCGGCGAGAGUGCAGGCGCGGAGGACAGCGACGAUCCCGAGGCGAGACCCAACAGCGAGAAAGGAGACAGCAAGAGAUAUCAUGGACUGAAAGGUGAUGGGUACCCCAAUGAGCUCACUACAAGAUCUCAAAGAUUCCAAGCCACUGGCUGCUCCAAAGCAUAAAGCCACCCUUCUGGAGAGGCGGCAGGAAGGAAGCCUGGAGGAGGUGAGGAAACAUCACUCUUCCCUCUGCCCUUGACUCCAUCGGCCUUUAGCUGUCAGAUGGUUGGGCCCAGGCCUGAUGGGCUGUUUCCCAUGUAUCCUUCCACAGGCUCCACUUUUGGCCAGAGGACAGACCACCUUCUUAGGUCUCUGGGAGAACUGCUGAAGGACAGUGAGGGAGAUGUUGCUGGUCCCCAGGACAGAAACCCAGCAGCUGGCACCAAGAAGCACCUGGAGUGGGACUCAAGCCCAGCACCCCUUCAGACUGAAGCUCUCUGAGCUGUGUGUGGUUCCCGACUGGACUGUUUUUGCUUUGCCGUCACCUGCAUAACACAGUUCUGGAUGCUUUUGAAUGGUUGGCUUUGUUUCCUUUUUUUCCCCCCUCUGUCUUUUCUUUUUUCUUCUCUUGGCCCUGAGAAUUGUAAGAAAAGAAUUGCUUUAGAAAGUAUAAUUCUGUUGCUGAAAUUAGCCUUGUUUAUGAACAAAUUCUGUCCCUAAGGAUUUUCUGAAUUGCAAUCCCAGGUUACUUGGUAGAUGGGGCUGCAUGAUUUGAUUUGUGUAGUACUGAUCCUUAGAUUAUAAAUACAUUUUCUUUCUUUCUUUCUCUCUUUCUUUCUUUUUCUUUCUUUCUUUCUUUCUUUCUUUCUUUCUUUCUUUCUUUCUCUUCUCUUCUCUUCUCUUCUCUUCUCUUCUCUUCUCUUCUCUUCUCUUCUCUUCUCUUCUCUUUCCUUUUCUUCUUUUCUUUCAAGUUUUGGAUCCAGGUAAUGGCCCGAGUCACAUUUGCUUAGCUACUGAAGCGAUCUCAAUGUGGUAUCGCUUGGAGUUGAAAUAUAAUCAAACAUAUAUUAUACCUGGGGCUCUUGCACGCUAUAUGAUAUAUAUGUUAUGCUACAAAGAAACACAAACCUUGUAGGUUGAAAUUUAAUUCCUGUCUGAUCCUGCAGUUAGAAUGGUGGAAAAAUUAUAAAUAUCAAAAGCGGCUUCAGACACCCUGAAUGUACGCUAACCAACAAUAAGUGGACCGUUUGGAAAUGCCCUUUUCCAAGGCAAAGCAGGAAUUGGAGAUCAGCUGACCUUGUCAACAGGGUUGCUCAGGUCUGUCUGUCUGUGGAUCUGCUCAUUUUGGAGGAAUCCGAGGACAAGGCCUGCUUCUGUGUUUGGGUUUACGGAAAUUGUGGCGUCUCUGACUGAAUGCUCUGUAACUGUGCCUGCCUUGCAAUAAAACACCUUUGGUUGACUCA
This is a long non-coding RNA of Ursus americanus (American black bear), 1794 nucleotides long. The record is from Ensembl. NCBI's taxonomy places the organism in Eukaryota, Metazoa, Chordata, Mammalia, Carnivora, Ursidae.